Molecule: ribosomal RNA, 975 nt
Filed under: Escherichia coli
Lineage: Bacteria; Pseudomonadati; Pseudomonadota; Gammaproteobacteria; Enterobacterales; Enterobacteriaceae
Description: partial 23S ribosomal RNA
Rfam family: Bacterial large subunit ribosomal RNA
Source: RNAcentral
GAGGCGAACCGGGGGAACUGAAACAUCUAAGUACCCCGAGGAAAAGAAAUCAACCGAGAUUCCCCCAGUAGCGGCGAGCGAACGGGGAGGAGCCCAGAGCCUGAAUCAGUGUGUGUGUUAGUGGAAGCGUCUGGAAAGGCGCGCGAUACAGGGUGACAGCCCCGUACACAAAAAUGCACAUGCUGUGAGCUCGAUGAGUAGGGCGGGACACGUGGUAUCCUGUCUGAAUAUGGGGGGACCAUCCUCCAAGGCUAAAUACUCCUGACUGACCGAUAGUGAACCAGUACCGUGAGGGAAAGGCGAAAAGAACCCCGGCGAGGGGAGUGAAAAAGAACCUGAAACCGUGUACGUACAAGCAGUGGGAGCACGCUUAGGCGUGUGACUGCGUACCUUUUGUAUAAUGGGUCAGCGACUUAUAUUCUGUAGCAAGGUUAACCGAAUAGGGGAGCCGAAGGGAAACCGAGUCUUAACUGGGCGUUAAGUUGCAGGGUAUAGACCCGAAACCCGGUGAUCUAGCCAUGGGCAGGUUGAAGGUUGGGUAACACUAACUGGAGGACCGAACCGACUAAUGUUGAAAAAUUAGCGGAUGACUUGUGGCUGGGGGUGAAAGGCCAAUCAAACCGGGAGAUAGCUGGUUCUCCCCGAAAGCUAUUUAGGUAGCGCCUCGUGAAUUCAUCUCCGGGGGUAGAGCACUGUUUCGGCAAGGGGGUCAUCCCGACUUACCAACCCGAUGCAAACUGCGAAUACCGGAGAAUGUUAUCACGGGAGACACACGGCGGGUGCUAACGUCCGUCGUGAAGAGGGAAACAACCCAGACCGCCAGCUAAGGUCCCAAAGUCAUGGUUAAGUGGGAAACGAUGUGGGAAGGCCCAGACAGCCAGGAUGUUGGCUUAGAAGCAGCCAUCAUUUAAAGAAAGCGUAAUAGCUCACUGGUCGAGUCGGCCUGCGCGGAAGAUGUAACGGGGCUAAACCAUG